CCCCGGUAAACGGCGGCCGUAACUAUAACGGUCCUAAGGUAGCGAAAUUCCUUGUCGGGUAAGUUCCGACCUGCACGAAUGGCGUAAUGAUGGCCAGGCUGUCUCCACCCGAGACUCAGUGAAAUUGAACUCGCUGUGAAGAUGCAGUGUACCCGCGGCAAGACGGAAAGACCCCGUGAACCUUUACUAUAGCUUGACACUGAACAUUGAGCCUUGAUGUGUAGGAUAGGUGGGAGGCUUUGAAGUGUGGACGCCAGUCUGCAUGGAGCCGACCUUGAAAUACCACCCUUUAAUGUUUGAUGUUCUAACGUGGACCCGUAAUCCGGGUUGCGGACAGUGUCUGGUGGGUAGUUUGACUGGGGCGGUCUCCUCCUAAAGAGUAACGGAGGAGCACGAAGGUUGGCUAAUCCUGGUCGGACAUCAGGAGGUUAGUGCAAUGGCAUAAGCCAGCUUGACUGCGAGCGUGACGGCGCGAGCAGGUGCGAAAGCAGGUCAUAGUGAUCCGGUGGUUCUGAAUGGAAGGGCCAUCGCUCAACGGAUAAAAGGUACUCCGGGGAUAACAGGCUGAUACCGCCCAAGAGUUCAUAUCGACGGCGGUGUUUGGCACCUCGAUGUCGGCUCAUCACAUCCUGGGGCUGAAGUAGGUCCCAAGGGUAUGGCUGUUCGCCAUUUAAAGUGGUACGCGAGCUGGGUUUAGAACGUCGUGAGACAGUUCGGUCCCUAUCUGCCGUGGGCGCUGGAGAACUGAGGGGGGCUGCUCCUAGUACGAGAGGACCGGAGUGGACGCAUCACUGGUGUUCGGGUUGUCAUGCCAAUGGCACUGCCCGGUAGCUAAA
RNAcentral lists this ribosomal RNA (836 nucleotides) under Salmonella enterica. Its description in RNAcentral is "partial 23S ribosomal RNA". It matches the Rfam family "Bacterial large subunit ribosomal RNA", at positions 1918 to 2753 of the family's 2925-position model. The record is from RNAcentral. Lineage: Bacteria; Pseudomonadati; Pseudomonadota; Gammaproteobacteria; Enterobacterales; Enterobacteriaceae.